Long non-coding RNA from Globicephala melas (long-finned pilot whale), 841 nucleotides. RefSeq lists it as uncharacterized. Lineage: Eukaryota; Metazoa; Chordata; Mammalia; Artiodactyla; Delphinidae. The record is from RefSeq and is a predicted model, not a curated record.
CUCUUCUUCAUGAAGCUUUGGAUGAGUAAACAAGAUCAGUCACAAAAUGUGAAAGAAAGAAAGACAGAAAGAACAUACAACUCUUCCUGUAGCUUUCUUCUCCCUCUUUUCCGUUGAAAAUAUGGACAAUAGAGUUUGUUGUCUCAUCAAGGUGAAGGACACCGUACUGAUUGAUUUAGGGACUGGCAAGAUACCCAACUUUAUCAAAUUGGACACAGAUCUCAAGACUGAGUCCCCAGUGAAUUUGUGACCCCACAAUGGAGAUCUAAUGGAGGUUUCUGGAGCAGUUGGCACAUCUCUAGGAGACACAUCUUGAAUUUCAGAAGAAAUAUGUGCCAUCUCAAAUAAAAUUUUCUUCAGCUACUUUUCUCACCUUGUUUUUCAACCCUGCGAGUUCACAUGCUGCUUUGGCAGACCUACACAGAUAAACCGUCUAGACCAUCACAGUGGUUCUCAACCUGAGUAGCUGUGACACCACAAGAUGACUGGUCUCCUAGCAAUUAAAGUGUAACAUUCAGCCAGUGUUCACUUCCCUAUGAAAUUUAUCCAGUUAAAGCAAGAUAUGGGCUGCUUACUUAAACAGUAACUUAAAAAAAUGAGAUCUGCAAAAUCUCUUUCCUAAAGAGUCUUAAACACAUCACAUAAAUAAAUCCAUUUCGUUUCUGAAAUAAAAGUGAUUUCUCUCCCUUCUACACACAUACUCUUAGCGCCAGUAGUGUUCCCAAGCCACACUUUGGUCUGCUCGCCUGUGUGCAGUAAAGCCAAUCUACUUACACCCGGUUGUGGUGAAGGUAAGUGUAGCCUUUAUUGCAGGUGCCAAGCAAGGAGUCCAGGCAGCUAG